RNAcentral lists this transfer RNA (65 nucleotides) under Metorchis orientalis. RNAcentral's name for it is "tRNA-Cys". The record is from RNAcentral. Lineage: Eukaryota; Metazoa; Platyhelminthes; Trematoda; Opisthorchiida; Opisthorchiidae.
GGUUUAUGUUUAGGGUGUGUAUUUGGUUGUGCUCUGCAAAGGCAUAAGAGAUCUUUGUUGAUCCA